GCGGGGGCGCGCGGGGGCACGGGGGCGCGCCCCGGCCGGGCGCCCCGAGGCGGCAGCCGCGGCUCCGAGCGCUGCCCUGGGCACGCGUGGGGGCCGCUCUUGCUCGAGGUCUGUUACUGGGGAGGGGGCGAAAAGCGCCGCCGCAGCGCGCGUGGGGAACCCCGAAGGCGCCCACGAUUGAACGGGGUCAGAGGCCCUGCGGAGCUAAUGCAAGUUAUACAGUCGAUUACUCGAACCCCCAACGGGGAGGAAGCGCUUCCUUGCCGAAGCGGGGCGUGCCGUUACCCGGAAAAAGAAAAAAAAGAGGCAAAAGCAAGUAGAUGAUAAACAGAAAAAAGAGAGAUCUGAAGAAGGUAGGAUUUCCGCGUACGGUGAGGUUGAGGAGGCGGGAGAAGCGCCCCCUACCUCCGCCCACGAAGCGAACGCAGCGAGGGGUCGCAGCAAUCCGCGAGGCCAGCGGUCCGUUCCAUCCAGGAAAACUUAGUCCUCCCUGUCAACGUGGUUUCGGAAGCCAGCAGACCUCCACUGCGGACUUUCUUCAAAGGAAGCUGGUGACUGGACCCUGACCCUCAGCAGAGUUGCAACGCCUACUCUCCAGUUCCCUGGACUCGACCAGGACAACUAACGAGGAGGUGAGGAGCGACAACCACCACACCAAGAAGCGAGCGAGUCUACAACUGCAAGCAAGAGCCUCCCACAUCAGCCAUGUAGGAUCGAGGGCCCCUCUCAAUUAGAGGAGAGUGGGCAUCACCGUCCCAGACUCCUCAGGAUUGGGGAAUAAAAUAUGGAUUAGAGUGGACUUACUGGUAUUCUACUGUAGACUUAUUGUGAUCCUAGCGAUGGAGGAAAUUAUAUCAUGGAUGUAGAGACAGUGGCUAUUGGAGGUGCUGAAGUCAGGAAGAGGGAUAAAGAGGUGUAAUAUGGGGGCAAUUUCAGGACUCAGAAUUGUCCUCAGUGACAUUGCAAUGGCAGAUACAGGCCAUUAUAUAUCCUGCCAGAACCUACGGAAUUGAGUGGCAAAGAGUGUAAACUACAAUGUAAACUCUAAUCCGCAAUUGGUGGCAAUGUUACAAAAUGUGUUCAUCAGUUGCAAUGAAUGUACCACACUAAGGAAAAGAGUUGUUGAAGUAGGGAAGGGUGGGAGGUGUGGGGAGUGGGGCACAAGGGAAUCCCUUAUAUUUUUUAAUGUAACAUUUCAUGUAGUCUAAGUAUUUUUUAAAAAUAAAUUAAAAAUGUAUUUUAAAAAAGCAGCUGGUGAAAUCAGGUGAAUCAAUUUCCCAAGUGUCAGAAGAUGUUUUUGAAAUCUUGUUAUAUCUCAACCUCUGUCUUUAGAACACUUCUCGUGGAAACUUUUUAUCUUUUUCCUCUGAAGUACCAGGUUUAUAUCAAUAAAACUAAAUCUACCAUGCAUUUUGUUCUCCCAUAUCCUUAUUUUUAAUG
Molecule: long non-coding RNA, 1440 nt
Filed under: Dasypus novemcinctus (nine-banded armadillo)
Lineage: Eukaryota; Metazoa; Chordata; Mammalia; Cingulata; Dasypodidae
Description: lncRNA (ENSDNOG00000049871.1)
Source: RNAcentral